UUUUGAAAAGCAUGAGGUUUAUCCGCCCUUUUAGGUCUGAGAAACAACAUGAAAAUUCAAGCAGGUAAAUACGUUUGCAUGUAUUCGAAUACAAGAAUAAUCAAGUAAAUGGUAUUUGAAAAAGAUAUUUAUUACUUUUAUGUCUACAAAUACGGAGAAAUUUGUUAUUAAAUGCACUUAAUGCAUACGUCACGUAAAAUAUAUAUCACAGGUGCAUUACGCUUGUUUUCAGCUUGUUUAAUAUUCCCUCCAAAAAUAUCAUUUAAUAGAUACAAUCACUUCUUUUCAUUCUACUAUUUUCAUCUUAAUUUCGGACAACUUUACGUAUUGUGUCGCAUAUAACUGAAAAACUUUUCUUAACAUAUGUCCAAAUAUGUAAGAAUAUUGUUCAGAUAUGAAAAAAUCGGGUAUUGGAUAUAUAAACUUUUGCACAUAUAUUAGUAAGUUUUUCACCCUUUUUAUUUGUACAAUUCUGAACAAUAUUGAACAGUACCACAUUUACAAUAUAAGGAUGUGGUAAUAUCUGUAUGUGCUUUGCAAUUGAAAUUCCAGAUGAAAGCUUUGGACGCAAUUAAUUUAUAAACUGUGGUUUUCAUAUUCCUUAUACGGAUGAUAGAAGGUCUUGUAAUUAAAUAUAUAAUACAUAUUGGUAUACUUAUACUAAGAAAAAAUGAUAUUUGAUUAAAAUUAUAAAAAGAGUGUGUCAAUUUGCUGUUAUUCGUUAAUAUUACUUUGCACAAAUUAUAAAUAGUGUAUUUUUAUGAAAUAUCCUUCACUAGAUUUUGUUCACUGACGUUUCAGAGAGCCAAACUAAACUAAAAAGGUCAAGUAAGGACUUAACAAAAUAUCAUUCAACAAUACACAAUUUUAAAUAGAUAUAAGAGUAUAAAUUUGUUAAUGCUAUUUUGAGAUUUAAAUGCACUUGUUCAUUCACACGAAUAUAUAAAUAUAUUUGCUAAAAAUUUUCAGCAUAAAAAUCUAUUUCUAACACUGUUUGGUGUAAUUUUCAGAGUUAUAUUGUGUGUAAAACUAUUAUUAGUACUCUACAAAAUGUCAUUUAUAAAUAAUAUCACUGUUUGGGUUUCAAUUCUGGAAAAAUUAAAACGCAAAAUUAUGAUCAAUUUAAAAAACAUUUUAGGUCCCAACCCAAUUAAUUAUUGAGACUUUAAUUAAAUAAUAUAAGUGAUGGUAGCAAGAAUGAUAUUAUCUCCCUUGAAAUGAACUUGCUAAUGAAUUAUCAUAAUUGUAUAUUGAUAAUGAACAUUUUAUCUUCAGAACCACUUUUAUUUGGUUUUGUAACAAAAACACAUACUGGUACCUGCAUGCGUCCAUGCUCAAUUCAACUCUACUUUAAUGUAUCAAAUUUUAACCAAAAAAAGUUUCGAACUUUAUAUGUCCCCCUUUAACCUUUGAUAUCCGUUCUCAUUAAAUUGUAAUAAGAUGACUAGAGGCCAGCUAAGCAAAUAUAUAUUUAUAUACAUAUCAAGAGGAAAAACCAAACACACAUAGUAUGGUAUGAGGAAACAGCAAAAGCUAUAGUAAGGAUUUCAAGAAUUUACUUCAACCCCCACCCAAUGAAUCAUUUAAAAGAAAACUCAGAAGAUAGAUGACAGAAGAUGAGACGAAACCGAUAUAAGAAAAAAAUUAGAUAACACCAAACCGAAGUAUGGUUUAAAUGGCACCAACAGUACCAAUUUUACUACAACUGUUCGAUAACUACCAUUGAAAUGGGCACAAGCAUUUUUGACAUUUUUCGUCCUUCUCCUCAUUAAAAGAAUAACUACUCGUUUGCCUAAAUGUCUAAAAAUGCAGCUUUGGGCAUGCUUUUGGGAUUUGUUAAUUGAUUAACGGUUUUACAACCAAAAUAUUGAAAUCUCUAAUGCAACAGAAUGGACUGUGAUCUAAUGAAUUUGGUAGACCUUUUAAAAUUAGACUUGGUGUGAGUUCAGUUGAAAUCGGCACUACUCAUUUAUUUUACAAUGACAGAACAGGCAGUAACGAAUUAUUUACGGACUAAAAGUAUUCCUCUAUUGAGUUGGGAUCAUUGACUUGCUGCAGUGCUCUCUUUCGACGUCUUUCACACGGAAAAUAUCUAAAUAGUAUGCAAAAAAAGAUGAAAAUCUUACUCGAAUAUCAGAUGAAAUAUGGAAUGCUGACCAGUUUAGUGUGUUUUUAAGAUGCAUUUGUCCAUAUGGCCGUAGCUUAGCGAGAAAGAAUGCAUGAGACACAAAAAUCUGACAUACUUUAUAACAGUUUGGCAUGGUUUUAUUAACUAAAAAUAAUGUUUUUUCAUGAUUGAAAGUCUUGUUAUAUUAAAGAAGUCUGAGCCGGAAAAUGAAAGAAAGUAGGGGAAAUAAAACACUUCCUAAUUGUACAAUGUGUCAAUUAUAUCAGUGAAGUGUUCCAGGAUACUAAUGUGCAAAAUGAGCAUGGGCUUCAAAUAGUAUUAAAAAACUCAAAGUUAACAAAACAAUUUAUCUUUCAGGCAUGCCUAUUUUAGUAACCAUCGUCAUGAUAAACAUAAACUGUUAUUUUGUUUUGAAGAAAAAUUUUCGUUUUCCAUACAGAAAAUCCUUAUAGCAGCAAAUAGGACUAUAUUUCCAUAAAAAUGAAGACCCUUAGAAUAGUUUAUGGAGUUGAAGGUUAUUGAUUCAUUGGUGUAUACCCGAUAAUUACAGAAAAGGGACAACAGAAUUGCCAAACUAAAUUCCAGGAUCCGCUGUAAGGAUGAUAUUCCGUUUAAUACAGAUACCACCUCAAUCUGAUAUAUUUCUGUCGACUUACAGUCAUGCUUCUUAUAAAAUUCAUGAGAUUUUCUAAGUUUUUUUUAUUUAUCUUCUUAAUCGAUUGAUGAAAUUCCUUACUGUUGUCAAUAUAUCCUAUUAAACUGACACAGUCAAUUCUAGCCCCUAGCACACCAGAUUCAGGUUAAAUCUAACCUGAUCAAAUGUUUAAGACAACACUGCCCGAGGAAAUGAAGACCAGAAUAACAAAAAUAAUAAUCUGGGAAUGCAUCAGCGAGAAUUUGACAUUCAUUUAGCUACUGUUCUAUAUCUAGCAAUAUGUACUCUUGAGGAAAGUGUUCUAAACGAAAUCGCGCUUGUUGUGCUUACUGAUAAACCUGGUAUCAUUGAUGGAGUUUUCCCCUUCAAAACGAUGAAAUACAGUAGUGUAGGGUUCUUUCUUUUUUGUUUUUAGAUAUCUUUUUUUAUCUUAACUGGAUAUUUUCAUUAUUUACAUGCUUGAUAACUAUUUAGUUGAGAUUCCAAUUACCGACAAUAAAACCAUGUAACUAAAUCUGCGAAACUUAGUAGUAAAUAGGGUGCUUAGGGUAUAAUAGAAAAGAAGGCAGGCAACGAAAUGCACUUGUCAUAUAAUAUAAGAUAGACAAAAAACAUCUUACUUGACUUUAACGGUAUUUGAUUCGCGAAUCAAAAUGAAAUUAUUAUGACCCAAAAUGAAGAAAAUGCUUAUACAUUAAAAAUAACGUCGUCUAUAUCACAUAGAUAAAACGUUAAGCCGAAAGUAGAUUGCUGAUGUUUGAAUCUCGUAACUCGAUUUUAAAACGACAAAUCAAGGUAACACACAUAAACUGGGGGAAAACUAGAACUCCAAAAAGGAGCAAAAAGUUGUGCGUCGAAAAGGUACGCACCUCUUACUAUACAUGCGCGAAGCCAAACUAGGUCAAUGAACUCCAAAAGGAGCUAGAACUGGUGCGUCGACAUGGUACGCAACUCCUACUAUGCAUGCACGAAUCCUAACUCAGUCAAAUUUCUUAAUCAAUUAAGAUUGCAAGGUACUCGAUAGUUAUCAAAGGUACCAGAAUUAUAAUUUAAUAUGCCAGACGCGCGUUUCGUCUUUAUAAGACUCAUAAGUGAAGAUCAGAUCUAAAUAGUUAUAAAGCGAAACAAGAACAAAGAAGAAGGGCAUUGGGGACCCAAAAUUCCAAAAAGUUGUACCAAAUACGGAUAAGGUAAUCUAUUCCUGGGAUAAGAAAAUUCCUUAGUUUUACGAAAAGUUAAAAGUUUUGUCAACAGGGAAUUUACUAUAAUGACAUAUCUUCAUAUUAAAAUGUGUUCUUUUAUAAGUGUUAUGCAUGUUCACUGAAGGAAUGUAUAGUUCAGAAAGUUUGCUAAAUAUAACGUUGUCCGAUGAAAACCCUGGUUUCAAGUAUAGAAAAAUUAAAAAAUGAAUAGCAAUUUAGUUAUGAAAAAGAUAUGGAAAAAGAUUGUAUGUUUGACAAUGUACUUAUUUCGAAAUUUGAAUAAAACUGUUUGCUGUCUAAAGAAAUAAUAUACCUGAAAAUGCCGUCAAAGUUUCUAUUAUGACAUAAAACGUUGAUUCCUCUUAAGAUUUGAAUGAAUUAACUGUGCUUUAAUAAUGUACCAUUAAACUAUAUUAAAACUAAUUCAAAUGAUGUAUGCACAGACCAUUUGUUUCAUUAAAAAGCAAUUCAUUGAUCUUUUGAUAAUGAUUUUUAAGUCGUGUAAUAUUUUUAUUUCUUUUUCACAGAUUUUAAUCACAAAAUUACCUAAUAUACCAAAAAAUAUAUAUCUUCUUAGCAUUACAAAUAAUCCUAAGAAUAUAUAUUUUUCUAAUUUUAAAAAUGUGAAAUAUUCGUAAACAUGUAUACAUAUUCAUUAAGGAUUAAUCAAAGAGUAUAGAACAUGAACUAGAACAAGAACAUAUUUUAUUACCAAUUAAGUAUUCAAAGGGGGGAUGAAAAGUUGUAUACCUUAUUUUAAACUGGGGAGAUAUAGUGCUUUGCCGUUUGUAUAGACAAUCGUUUUAGUUAAAGACUGUAUGCUAACAUUUUCUUCAUCAAGUCGUAUUACAGUUUCCCUGGUGUGUUAACGACAUCACACUGUAUACAUAUUGAAAACAAAUUAUUUGAAAUUGUUCUAUGUAUAUUUCAUAGAUACACUCCAUACUAUAUCAUUAGAUGAUCACAUUUUACUUAGUAGAUAUCAUAAAAAGGAACCUUCUAGGCAUAAGGUACCCUUAAUAUUUUAAUAUUCGAAGUUUACACUGAAUGUAGUAUCAAAAGUAUUAUAUUAGAAGAAAGCAAUAGGAGUCCCCUUCAAAUUAUAUUAGAAGACAAAAAAUAGGAACCCUCUUAGUAUCAAAUUAGAAGAGAAAGUUGUAGGCACCCUCUUAGUUUAGUAUUACACAAUCAAUUUUUGCCUUUUCCAUUUGAAGGUAGUCAAUCGACGUCAGAUGAAAAAUUAGUAAAACAGAUUAAAAGUAGAGGCACCAGUUAUUUACCAUUGUUCACAGAUGGUACAUAGAAUUAAAUUUAAAUAAAAAACAAAAAAAAAAAAAAAAAAAAAAAAAAAAAAAAAAAAACAAGAGAAUAGUCUGAUUUCUGUUGACAUGAAUAUCAAUAAUGUGGUCAUUUUUAUAAAUUUCCUGUUUACAAAACUUUGAAUUUUGUACUUGUUUGGCUUUAUAAAUAUUUUGAUAUGAGCGUCACUGAUGAGUCUUAUGUAGACGAAACGCGCGUCUGGCGUACUAAAUUAUAAUCCUGGUACCUUUGAUAACUAUUUACACCACUGGGUCGAUGCCACUGCUGGUGGACGUUUCGUCCCGAAGGGUAUCACCAGCCCAGUAGUCAACACUUCGCUGUUGACAUGAAUAUCAAUAAUGUGGUCAUUUUUAUAAAUUUCCUGUUUACAAAACUUUGAAUUUUUCGAAAAACUAAGGAUUUUCUUAUCCCAGGCAUAGAUUACCUUAGAUGUAUUUGGCACAACUUUUUUGGAAUUUUGGAUCCUCAAUGCUCUUCAACUUUGUACUUGUUUGGCUUUAUAAAUAUUUUGAUAUGAGCGUCACUGAUGAGUCUUAUGUAGACGAAACGCGCGUCUGGCGUACUAAAUUAUAAUCCUAGUACCUUUGAUAACUAUUCCAAACAGAAAAAUGUAAAAUCACACAAUUACUGAACUCCGAGGUAAAUUAAAAACGGAAAGUCCCUAAUCAAAAUCAAAAGCUCAAAAAAAAAAAAAGAAAGAGAUUGAUUCGGGUAUGUUAACUAAUGGCUCUUGCCAUUGUCACCCUACUAGGAAUGGUAAACAGUUAUUAUAAGGAAUAGGACGCAAUUGGUAAAUUCGCAGGUACUAAACAGCUAGAUGUCUUAAAAGAAUGCGAAAACUAACGGAUAUAAAUUGAAAAUAAAAUCAGAACAUUGGCAUAUAAGUUUUCGGUCAACAAAUAUUUUUUAAUCGAUUUCAUUUACGAAAAUUAGAAAAAACAUCAACAAAACAAACUGUGCUGUACUUGGUAUAUUUGAUUACUAUUUAAAACCGUUAGAGAUCCUUCACUAUUGGUAUUGGAACUUAUUUUAUAUUUAUUUCCACUUUUUUUUUGUGUAAUGAAUCCAGUGAAGCUGAAAAUAAAAGUUGUACUGGCGUCACCACUCUUUAAUUCUUUUAAAAUGAAAAUCCUAAAAAUUAUAAUUAAAUGAUAAAAAAAAAAAUAAAGGGACUUAAUUCAAAGAGUUAUCUUAUCUUAUAAAAAACUGUCUGAUGUAUGUCAAUCACCAAUUAUGAAUUUCUUUUUACGAAACAACCAUUCAAUUUGACUUGUUGAUUAAUACCCUUUAUAGAUAAACUAAUGAAAUAAGAACAAGAAUCAUAAUUUUGUUGUUAUACCAAAUCUAUUUUUUGUGAACUUUCUCAUGCUAUCAAGAUUUAAAUUUUCAGUGCUAGAUUAUGGAAAUAUGACAUUUUGUAUUGGUAAUUGAUAAUUUUUUAUAUCCACAAAAUGACCUUCAAACGCAGUUUAUUUAACAGAGAGCUGAAUGAGCGAUGGCUAAAUCCAUUAUUAACUUAGGAAGUUCAUGUGUAGAAAAAUUGAAUUAAAAAAUAUCAUAAACUUAAAAAAAUAAUCGGUUUUAUUGUAAUCAUUAUUAUCACGUCAUCAGGGCAUUCAGACUCGUAAAUUUGUUGUUGUUUAGUGCAAUGGGUUUGUUUAGUACAGUUAUAAUAUAUAAGGUGUAUGUUGGCUUUAAAUAAUGACCUUACUUAGUAGACAGUCUUGUAUAUAUUAAUACAGCUAUUCAUCUAAUCUUUGGAGAGAACUGGAACUUUUUAUUUUCCUCAACAUCUACAAUAAUACAUGGGGACUCAGUUGUUAUGAAUAAGACAAACUAUAUUUCAUGAUUCUUCCCUAAUAUUUGUUUUACUAUUGUUAAAAAGUUUUAAAAUUUAGUCUUAAAGAAAGGUAAAAUAUAAAUACAAGUACCUUUACAGCAAGCCUCUUGAUCAGUUGGUUAGUUUUAGUUGAAAACAUUAAAUGCAAGAGGGCCUAAACAGAAAUUUCAACACUGCCUAAAACGUUGAGAAAUCACUUCGGAUUUAUAUAUCUAUAAAGAUUAUUGUGUUAAAAUUUUCCCUCACAGGUUUUUAAUUCUCUGUUAUGAUAUGCAUUUACUAAUAUCAUCAAUAAAUCAAAAUAUGGAUGUCCAAAAGCAGGUGAAAAAGCAAACUAUUAAGUAUGCGUGGUGGGGAAAUAAAUCGCCUUCAAAAAUGCUUAGUAAAAUGUAAGAUGGAUGAACCUAAUAUAUUAUAACACCCAAAUCAAUCUGAGGUCAACUUAACCUGAGGGAGUUAGUUAACGAUUAUCAGCAAGGUAGAAGGUGUUUAACGGUCAAGCUGACAAAGAGAUGACUUUCAAAGCUGAUGCAGGGAUGACUUUCAAACCUGAUGAAUGAAUGACUUUUAGUGAAGGUUAUUUGUUGUUGCAGCUGCAUAAGCUUUUGGACUGCAGUAUUAUGACGAACUAAAAUCGACACUUCACGAAGUUGAUGGUCAUCAUCACGAAUUGGUUGACUAUACGGUGCAUAUGUGUCUCAAAUCACAACAGACAGAUUUUAGAUGACUUAGAUCUUUCGAUUAGUUGAAAAAUUGCUAAUUGAGUCCUACUUGUUAUUGUGACAUUUUGACUAAGUGUGGAUUUGCAUGGCAGGAAAUGACGGAAUACCUAGCCUGGCGAUGCACCCGCGGUCUCGUUUCCUUUGGAAUGCAUGCGAUUUGCAUAUUCUAGAUUCAAACAUCAGUAAAAUAUAAAUGCCACCUUUUUCUGGUGUCCAAGAAUUAGAUUAAAGUAUGGUAUCUUUUCAAAUUAGAAUUUCCUCAUUGUCAGAUUAUUUUGGUUUUAAGUCGGGUUACCCCUACUGUCUCCUAUUUCUAUCGUGCUAUUUUACUUAUUUGGACGUGUAGGUUUAUGUAAAAUUUCGAUGCAAACUAAGACUGUAUAUGCCAACAUGUGCAUACAAUAUGAUAUGUUAAGUAGUUAUCAAAGGUACCAGGAUUAUAAUUUAGUAUGCGAGGCGCGCGUUUCGUCUACAUAAGACUCAGCAGUGACGCUCAUAUCAAAAUAUUUUUAAAGCCAAACAAGUACAAAGUUGAAGAGCAUUGAGGUUCAAAAAUUCCCAAAAGUUGCUGUAGUUUGUAUUAUUUAAUACUGCAGGAAAAAUUUUAAAUAUGACAAUGGAGUUUUCAAUAUCAUGAUUAAAAAAUGUAGGACUACCACAGAAUUAAAAAGUUGAAAACGAGGAGGCACAAAAGCAUGAUUUCCACCACUAAAUGUAAAAAAAACCACCACAAUUAUAGAUUGGAAUUAUUUUAUAUUUGUACAACAUUACAUUGUACCCUAAACAUAUUUUUGACUUCUCUCUCUCAAAAAAAAAAAGAAAAAAAAAGACUGAAAAUUAUAAAGUUUACCCUGUAUAAGACUAAGAUGAGAAAAACAUAUUUUUUUUUAAUUUAUUAUAAUCGCAUCAUGGCAAAACUAAAGCAAAGAUAAAAAUAAAACUUAAAGCACUGAUCAAGACUGGUAGGUUUUCUGUCAUUCAACAGUAGGCGCUAGUAGUAUAUAAGAGUUUAAACUCUGUAAUCUAUACAUUUAAUUUAAAACUUAAGUGAAUCAACAAAUUAAAAGACGUAGAGAAAAAUAACUUCCGGUUCAUUUAGGUUGGGGUUACUUAAACAUGGCGUCUCCCGCUCCUGUUAUCCUUGUGUUUCGUGUUUUAUCAAUUUAAAGUAGUACACAAUUAAGCAGGUAAUAUCUUGUAUUGUUUAAAGGUCGGCUAGAUGUAAUUAAACUUCAUUUGAUUUCAACAGGUCUGAAAAAUCAUUAAAGUACAACAGCAACACCGUUUAUCUUAAUGUAUUGGUAUUUGCAAUCUGUGUGAGCUAUCUUAUAAUGUAUUAUUUCAAAACGCAAUAAAUAAGCCAAAAUUGAUGAAUUAACCCUAACAGAUUUGAAUAUCAAUUAUAUGAUAUACAGAUAUGUUCCAGAGUUUGCUAAAGACGAAAUUCAGAUCGAAAUAUGUGCCAUGAAAAAAUAUUUUCGUGUUUUAAUCCAUUGAGUUAAUCAAAUGGAAUGCAAUGAAGUUUAUGUAUUACCAUAAUGUAUUAUUAUACUUUUCACUGUAUCUAAUUAUACCUUCACAGAAAGGUAUCUACUAAAAGUUGAGAUAUUUGUCAUUUAAUUAAUCAUGUGACCUCGUAUCUACUAAUUAACGUUGCAUGCAUACAUUAGUAAUUUUUCUGUAGCAAUGGCCAGAUGGCUGACAAUUCCGACAUAGCUCACACAUUCUUGUACCGUAUCUAUAGCAAAGGAGAGGAUACAACUAUACUCUGAGCAAAGUUGUCUAUCUUUGAUACAAAAUAUUUAAAUGAGAGAUAUUUAAGAUAUACUUAAAUACCAAACAUAAAAAACUUAUUAUUUACCAUUUGACUAAAAUCAUAUGAUAUCAUAGUUCGAGCCAAAGCAGAGGGAAAAAGUACUUUGUAUUGUCCAAAUUGUUCUUUACUGACGAGCUUUUAAUGUUGAAGCUGUAAUGUUGUUAUAUAUAAUGAAUAUAUAUUUUGACAACAUAGUUGAUACUCUUACAGUUGUUGGCUUAUAUUUUUAAAGCUAUGUAUAAAACUUUUUUUUUAUAUUUUCCAGUAAAACAGGGAUAGUUGAAGCUGUAAUGUUGUUAUAUAUAAUGAAUAUAUAUUUUGACAACAUAGUUGAUACUCUUACAGUUGUUGACUUAUAUUUUUAAAGCUAUGUAUAAAACUUUUUUUUUAUAUUUUCCAGUAAAACAGGUAGUUAGAUCCCUCUAUAGUUCAGAUCCACCAUUUUCUACAUAAGAAAAUGCCUGUACCAAGUCAGGACUAUGACAGUUGUUAUCCAUUCGUUUGGUGUGUUUGAACUUUUGAUUUUGCCAUUUGAUUGGGGACUUUCCUUUUUGAAUUUUCCUUGGAGUUCAGUAUUUUUGUGAUUUUACUUUUUACCAAAGAUCUAUAAUUGAAGAAGAUGUUUUUAUGUCAAGUUUUUCACAGAGGUACCUCAAACUCGAUUUACCUUCUUAUUUCAACUGCAUGAUAAAUAGCCAGCAUAGUGCUGGCUACAUUAAAAAUUAAUCUGUUUUCCAAAAUAAAUAUUAUUUAGUAUGUCUACCGAAAAUGGCUGAAAACAAAAAUGGAAUUUUCCCGCUCUUUGCUCUUUUCGGCAUGAUGUGUUUACUUUAAGGUACCUCUGUGAAAAAAAACUUGACAUAAAAACAUCUUCUUCAAUAAUAGAUCUUUGGUAAAAAGUAAAAUUACAAAAAUACUGAACUCCAAGGAAAAUUCAAAAAGGAAAGUCCCCAUUCAAAUGGCAAAAUCAAAAGUUCAAACACAUCAAACGAAUGGAUAACAACUGUCAUAUUCCUGACUUGGUACAGGCAUUUUCUUAUGUAGAAAAUGGUGGAUUGAACCUGGUUUUAUAGCUAGCUAAACCUCUCACUUGUAUGACAGUCGCAUCAAAUUCUAUUAUAUUGUUACCGAUGCGUGAACAAAACAAACAGACACAAUAGGUAAAAAUGUCAAAAAUAGGGGUACAGCAGUAAACAUUAUGUUAUCAUCUUAAUCACUAUAAAAACAACAAAUGUAAACGAUGGAAGCCGUAUAGAAAUGACUUAAUAUGGGUUUGGCAGCUUUGAAAGCAAUGGUCGGUGUGAUUUUUGAAAAAAAAAGCUACAUAUGUUUAAGAAAACCGAAAGUUGGCAUAAAAAAUGCUUAAAGAAAACUGUACAACGAGAAGAGGAACUAAUACUAAAAUCCAUUAGUGCAAGGUGCAUUAAGAAAGGGUUGGUUAUUCAGUUUAGUCAAACUAUUCAAUAGGCAAUAGUCGAUACAAAUACUUAUUGGAGAUUUUAACCUUAAAUUUUGAAUUAAGUUUGUUAAAUCUUAAACGUUUAAUUUUUGGAGUUGAAAAAAGUGUGUUUUUUUUCAAUUCUGCUGAUAUUUAAACAAUAUCUUUACUAGCAAUUUCAUUUUGAUCGGGAACUGCUAACCAUCUUAUUGUACACCUUAUGACUGUGUUAGUGAUGAUAAGUCUUUAGUUUGAAGUUUAGUGUAUUGUGGCAUGUUAUUUGUCUUUUCUUUUUUCUGCCUUGGACCAUCGAAUUUGUCGUCUUUCUUCGAUGGAUGUGCCCUUUUAUAUCUUCCUAAUAUUUUUACAUUAUUCAUUACUUCAAUUGAGGCAUGAAAUGUAGAGAAAAAAAAUAAAUAUUUUUAUGAAUUUAACAUUUUAUCAGUAAUGUGGACUCGUGUAAUCAUUUUGUUUCAAGAUGUGACAAAUACAGGAGAUAGAACAGUGUCGAAAGUGCGUUCAGGUUUGAGCAAAUAUUUCUUUUGAUUCACUAUUAAAAUAGUUGAAUAAGAGAUGCAAUGUUCUACGUCUGAUGUUGCAUGGUAGAUACAUUGGGAAAUAAUUUACAAUAUAAAAAAAUCUACAAACUUCCAAAUCCCUUUUAGUAUAGACAUUAAAAGAAAGUCUUACCGAGAAAACAUAAAGAUAAUAAGAGUGUCUGUUAGACUGUUAUUAUGAAUGCAAAAGUGGUAGGAAUCUAACAUAAUCAUCCCGUUGAAGUCCCGUUGAAGAUGCCAGCACUUAUCAAUAAAUAUAUUGCAACUGUACAGCGUCGUAUACGUCAUCUAAAAAAAGCCUGACGUUACAGAAGGCACUAUGCCAUAAAUUCGAUUAGUCUCGCCAACAGUUUGAUCGAAAACUUGUUUUAAAAAUAUCACAAGUGUUAUCAAUCAAAUAUUGGAACAGCAAUACAGAAAAAUAGAAGUAAACGUCAAGAAGAGAAUGGAAGUGAAAAUGAAAAACAUUCGAAUAUUCGACAAAGGCAUAUAUUAGCAAGGAACACCGACAUUUUUUAAUCAGGUUUAAAGCAGACACAUCGGAUCGAAGCCUUUAAAAACAGAUGUAUAUAAUUAGACACGUUGUCAUAGACAUUUUGACACCAGAGAAAACAGUACAUAUAAACUUGCAAAUUCCCAAAAAAAAGAGAGUAUAUCAAAGUGCAAAAAAUACAGAAAUUGUUAAUUUCAUUCUGGAUUUAUCUUACGGAAUUUUCAGAAACAUACACCAAACACGUAUUAGUAGAUAGAGCUUUAAGACAAAAAUGUGUUCGAGUUCUUUGGGUCUUCAAAAAAGAGAUUUAUAUGGUGUUUUUUUCUUAUAAUUGGCACAGAAAAAAAGCAAAGAUUGCUUACAAUAAAGCAACCAAAAACUUUAAGUUAUUAGUUUUUAAAGAUGUAUAUAACUCAGACGGACUUUAGAUACUUUUUAUAAGUCGCACUCCGCCUUUUUUCACAGGCACUGUGUAGUUCGAAUAUAUAAACUCUGCAUUGCAAAAAAACAACAAUGUUGGAUUCUUUAUAUGAUGCCUUACAAAGAUAAAAAAUACAAAUAGAUAUUUUACUCAAACAGACAAAUUGUUGUGGCUUUAAGUCGAUCAGUUUUCAGUGUUUCAAAUUCUAAAUGCCGAGUGCAUGCUUUGUGGAGAAGCAGUAAACACAUAUUUUAACUUAAGCUUGACCCAACAUAUAUAGGAUCUACCCAUAUACUUUCUGUUUAAACUAUUGAAACACACUACUACGGGAUCAUUGCAGGGUGGUUGACAGACUUUGAGGUUAUGUACACACUUGCGGUUUCUGUAAAACGUGUACAGAUACAAAACUUUUAAAGAGUAUCUUAUAUGAGAUAACGAAAAGAGUCGUUAUAUUACGCGGUUUUUAGGUUAAGUGUAAGUACUUGGUAGAUUCUAACUGUUUGUAUGAAGAGUGAUUUACUUAACGAAGAUUAUACAAAGAAAACAAUAGGGGUUGAGAACAAUAUUUGUAAAGGAUUAGUCUGCGGGGAGACAAUGUAAAGAUACCUUGGCGUAUAAUCAGUAUAUUUAGUCUGCAGGGAGAAGGGACAGUGUAAAGAUACCUUGGCGUAUAAUCAGUAUCUUUAGUCUGCAGGGAGAAGGGAGAAGGGACAAUGUAAAGAUACCUUGGCGUAUAAUCAGUAUAUUUAGGUUCUCUAAGGGUAGUGAAAGGAAGUGAACAUAUCUUCUGUAAAAAUUUACAAAUUAACUUGCUGAUUUGAAUAGACCUAGACCAGUAUAAUGAAGACCAUCUUUCUCACAUGAUAGGUCGAAGUUGAAUCAAUGGAGUUUUCGGUUGAUAAAGCAACAACAGAACAAAAACCAAAAGUUUUAAAACGGUUAUAUAUGGGGUGGAAAGUUUGGUAUUCAUUUUGUACUCAUUUGUAUUUUUGGACAACAAUUUCUACAUUCUUUUAACAUUCUUUAUUCUUUACGCCCAAUUACUUAUUUCAAUAAUUUAGCACCCAAUUAUUCUUUAAUCUAUAUGCCGCCUUUGUUCUCAUUUUUUUUUUUUUUUUUUUUAAUUUUUCUAAAUUAAUAUCUACUAUAUAAACGCCAUUAUACACUCUUAUGUGUGGUGAACAAGAGCAGUGUGCAGAGUCAUGAACAAUGAUUAACAGGGAAAAAUUAUGAACGCUUUUUGUGUAGCUUUAUUUGAAAAAAAAUGUUCUUUUAUUUCUAUCAAUAAAAUAUAGAUUUUUUGCAAAAAUGUUUACUUUUGUCAAAGAUAACUGUCCAUGACCGAAACGGCAAGAAUAACAAUUCACUGUGAUAUAUUUUGUGUAGAAAUAUAUUACAUGUACAUCUAUAAUUUAUAUAUUUCAUGUUAUAAAAAUUCAUCAAUCUAAUGAAAAAGUUAAUUUUAAUGGACAUUAACCGUGUUAACAUCAUGAUGAAAAAAAUCACAAAUUGACAAAAUAAAAUCGGCAGUCGAGCUAUAUUUGUUUUGAUAUAUUGUCGCAUGAUAUUACUAUAGACGAUUUCAAGUUGUUAAAAAUAAUUUAAAGGGGAAAACGUUUGAUAUGCAUGCCAAAUAUACAUGCAAAGGAGGAUCGAGUACUCUCAAAGGAUGAUCUUAACCUUGCAGCAAGCUGCAUGGUAUUAAACCUGUCAACGGUCAGAAAUCUGCCUGUCAUAUAAAAAAUAGGGAUAUAGUAUGCUUAUGGUAUAAUGCUUGCCAUUGAGACAACUAUUGGUAACCGCAAGGAUUUCAACGAUGAGCAGACAAUAAACUCAUACCUUUCUGUCCUUUAAGAGUUUGUAUUCAUGCGGCAUAUUUUUGAUAUUCUAUUUUUAAUUUAUAAUUGAUGUAUGUAUAUAUAUAUGAUUUGACAGGGGCACUAAGAGCUUGACGUGUUAUUUAGACACUUGUCUUAUUGUUGAUAUCAUUAGAGAUCGUAUAGACAACUAUUUGUGUCGAUUGUUUUUGCUAUUGUGAACCAUUUACAGCUUUAUUUCUUCAUAUAUGCAUUGAAUACAAUUAAAUGCAAGUAAAAAAAACCAAUAAACUCUUGUGUGUAACGCUUUCAAACGACAUAAAUUAAUGAAAACAAGAAUAAGAUAAAGGUGUAUAGUAUAUAUACACAAAGAUUUAGACAAAUUAAUUAGAACCUAAAAUAGUCAAAGUAAAGUGUGUCAAAGGUGAACAGGAUAUCUUAUGUACGUCCUACAUAAAAUCUAAAUUCAUACAUGUUUUUAAUUUAUGGAUAACAAAGUUAGGAUUGUAAAAUCAACAAAUAGAUUAGUAGAAAAAAACUCUACAUAUGUUGCAAAACUAAUUCUGUGAUUCGAAAGUGCAACACCUCAAUCAUAAAUGUGUGCAUGGUGCAUUAUAUGAAUGCGCAUUCAUAUAAUGCACAAACAAGUCUUUUAGGUUUCCUUUAUUUAAGUUUUUAAAUAUUUUGGGGGUCAAAACGAAAGUUAAACAAAGUCGAAGGAUUAUAUAUAAAGCUUCGUAAAUAUGCUUUUACAUUUGUUAACUCUUAUAUCUACAGCAGCUAAGCAGAUACAAGGACACUGAUAAACAUACACGUUGCUGUAAUAUAUGAACAUAUGUAACUGUACCACAGUAGACAUAUGGUGCUACCAAAGGAACAUGAGGUUUAAAAUUAUUGACAUAUGAUGAUAGUUCAGGUCUACUAUGAUCGCAUUGAUUCUAUAUUCCAAAACUUUGUAUACAUAAAUCGAAAAUGCAGCGUUGUGAUCCCAAUUUUUACAAAAAAAAAAAAAUGAAUUUAAAUCAUUACUAAAUUGAUAAAUAAUCACAAUAAAUAGAUAAAAAUAAUAUUAAUUAUUUGGAAAUGAAAAUAAUAAUUAAAAUGGGAAUGAUAAUAACAACAAACCGUAAAAUAAUAAUGUACAACUUUUAUUAUGAUAUAUAUUUGUUAAAAAUAAGGACAGUUGAACAACAAGCGGUCCAGAGCAAGGACUUUGUCUUAUUAUUUUUUUUUACACGAAGUAUAAUUUAUUUUUUAAAGGCAUUUCCUGUUUCCUUUGCUUGCUUCAAAGUGUUCUUCAUCAUAUCAAAACAAUUAAACAUUGGAAGCAGUGUAUAUGUCAUGUCUUUCUACUAUAAAAUGACAGCACAUAUAACGUGAACUACUUUCAAUAAUUAUUAAAGAAAUUGAAAACUUAUUGAAAAUAUAUAAUAAAGGGGGAGAGGACAUGUCCAAAGCGCCUGUUAGUUAAACUUAAAUUUUUGUAUCGCAUAUUCAUCAGUGCAACUAAAUAGAAAACAAGUUUGAGUUUGCAGAUUGAUCAAGUCUGAUAUUUAUUAGGCAGACAUGUUUAUGGGAAAUAUUGGGUUUUCCAGACUAUGUCAAUGGCUGACAGAUAGAGAUCGCGCAUAAUGUGUCUGUCUUUUCCGUGGUGGUUUGCAUUAAUAUAGUUCGACAAUAUAUCAGAACAAUUAUUGCUCGACUGCAGAUUUAAUUUAGUUAUAAUCGGAAAAAGGCUUUGAGUAUUCUUCGCCAUGAUUUUAAUAUAUUUUGUUCGGCAAUCUUUAUAGAGAUGCAUGAAUGUAAAAAGAUCUUAAAAAAGUGCUAUGUUGUAUUAGUCUUGUUCAUGAAAGUCGUUAUAAGAAGUCCGCCAAAAAUCAUGUCUUCCGCCUUGCAACAAUAAAUAAUAUAUUUCCGAUUUAUUUAAAUGUAGUGACGUAAAAAUAAUAAUUGACUGUUUUAAAAAUUUUGUAUUAUAUAUUGAUCUAUAUUCAUCUCAUAUUUGAUAAUUGCAAAAUUAACUUAUUCGAGUUAGUGGAUUUUUUGCGUUCUUAGCGUAAUAUUUUGUUAGGGUUCAUAAAGAUGUCUUCCUAAGCAAUAAGCAAUGUAUUGAUUUUUAAACCAAUGAAAAUAAUGGUAAAUUUCCCCCUGGCUGAUUUCAUUGGAAGUUAACCAAUGAAUUAGACGUUUAUAUUGAUAACGCCCGCCUACAAGUGUAUUCCAAACGAUACAGUUAGGAGAAUUUGAAACCUGUCUGGAAUUCAAAGUUAAGGUCAUUUAAAGUAACCAUCUUUCUAUAGUAUAAUACGGAACUUUAGGAACUCGAUUAUGUGUCAAAGCCAUUCUGUAGUAUGAAAUUUGUACAUUUGGCGUGAAAAUGGAUAUACUUUGCAAUUUUGAAAGACAUCACUAACUGAUCAAUCAGCAAAUCCUUCAGAUGAUGGCGGGAGAUAUUGGCGGUCGAUUUGUAAGGAUGCGGGGGCAUGUGAGGUCAGAUCGCUCUGUCCGUGGCCUGAAAUGACCGCUUAACGGAUCAAUAAUGUCAUACUCUGGUGGUCAAGCUUAACAGGUGAGACUAUUAUUUAAUCAACUGUAUUGUAAAGAAAUGAUUUAUGUAGAAAGAUAAAAAGAUCACCAUCUGUACGCGUCUGUUACAUUGAGCCUGGUAUUCUGUACGAUCCUUCAGUUAAAAACCCACUUUGCAUAAAAAAAUAUUAGAUCCAGGUAGAAAUAUCCUGAUUGUAAUAUUGUUGAAUUCAUUUUGUUAAAGUUAAAUUCCAAAAGUGGUGACAUCACUUUGCUUGCAACACAUCUGUAACACACGAGUUUUAAGAAAGUGCGAAAGAAAAUAAUCCACAUUAAAUGUUCAAAGAAACAGUUCCCUUGCAAUUUUUUUUGAUAUAUAUCAUCUAAUCCCUUAAAUUUUUCUAGAAAUAUCACAUUUCCGAAGUGUAAAACCACUUACAUUCAUAUUGUGUGUACAUUCAACUUAAUAAUGUCCGAUUGUUACAAAUGAAAAUCGUUUUCUGUUUACAAAACGUCAAAUGAUACCAACUGCACAAUGAUUACGUAACGCAACCUGCACACUUUUAUAAACUUUAUUGCGCAAUAUUCCUGCGGAAAGUGCAGCUUGUUGUAGUAGUGUGUUCAUGAUAUGAGGUCAUUUAACUCGGUGAACCGACCUGCCGACGUAAUAUGCAAUCCACUGCGCAUAACAAAUGCAUUGCAUAUUGAUACUGCAUGUAGAUUCACCAAAAGGUUUUUAUUUGUGAAGCGUUUUUGUCUGGUCACAAAAACUGGGAAUUUUGGACAUAUAAUCCCACAUUUGAUUAUAUGUUUUAGCCUAAACAUAAAUGGAAUUGAUUUUCUUUUCUACUUUUGGAAACACGUUUUUGUCAAGUCAGUGAUCAGUGAAGUGUAACACAAAAUCAAGGUGUAUUUUUUUUAAUUAAUAAGUAGAUAAGUUGGGACAAGGUUAAGUGUUUGAAUGAAAUCAAUAAAUCAGUGAAUACAGACAAAGUCAUGAGUGUGUAUGUCUAGAUUUAAACAGGUAGAACAUUUGCAUUCAGAUGAAUUCAAAAAUAGUUGUGUCAGUAUGGGGCUCUAUAGGGGACAAAUAGGAUGCUGUAUUUAUGCAUACUUGAUCAAUGACCACAUACCAUCUUGAAAAAGUAUUUGUUUAUUUAGAACUAGAAAGAAUUUUCCAGAAUCUUUCUUUUCAUGAAAAAAUACCUAUUUUUUAUCAAAAAAUAAAUAAAACAUUCUAUAACAAUUCAUUACAUUGAAUGUUAUUUUAAAAGGGGGCAAUUAUUUUCACAUGUUUUAAUAUAUAUGGUAUACUUUCAAAAUAAGUUUACAUGAUUUGAUAUUCAUUAUAUAUAUAUAUAUAUAUAUAUAUAUAUAUAUACAUUCAAUGAAGGAUUUCUAGAAGAUUCUGAAACAUAUAAUUUUCACAACCAACAGAAAAUGUUCAGUGUUCAGUGUUUUGUUUUUACUUAAUUAAAGGUAUUAUUAAAAGGUAUUAAUUUUGAAUCAGUAAUAGCUUGUUCAAUUUUUUCAACCAGCAGUGCUGAUAGUUUUGUUUAAUGACAUGAAUAUUGAACUGAAAAGACUCCAUAUAGUGAAUGUCAUACUUCUGGAACUUUGUUAUUACCUGAAGUGUUUAUAUUAUUAAAGAUCAUUCUUUUGUUUAUAUGGAGUAUGAUUUGAGAGUUUUCUGUGUGUGUGUGUGUGUGUGGAAAAAAGGGGGGUAUUCUGGCUCCUAUGAAUAUGUUUCUGGUGAUAGAUUUAUAGGAAUUUCUGUACAGGUGAUUUUCAGUAAACUACCUCUGAUUAAUGCUACACCUAUAUACACAUUUUAAAUUGAUAAGAACAAUUAACCUGGUUCUUGCUUUCCUAUACCUGCCUGUAAUUUCCAUGCCUUUCCCAAAACAUUUUAUUGACAAUUUCAGUCAAACAGUGAACAUUCCAGACAUUUUUGGUUAAGCAGCUCCUUUCCUUGUAUACUUGUGUAAAAUAUUAAAAAAAAAUAAAAAAAUGUUUACCUACCUAUUCUAUUUUUUUCCAUCAAGAAGACUGGAAAAAGGUAUAUAUAUAUAUAUAUAUAUAUAUAUAUAUAUAUAUAUAUAAUAUGGUAUAUAUAUAUAUAUAUAUAUACAACUUAUGUGUUAUGUAUGAUAUGUUGAACCUUAUAGGGUUUAUAGGAAAGUGAACCGAAGUUUAAAUAUUGAAUUCUUAAUACCAAAAUUGAAACACAUUGAAUUAUUAAUACACAUUGACCUAUCAAUAACAUUAGCAAUUUGACUUUUUGCUAUCAAAUCUAAACAAGCAUUGACAGGUGACUGCUAUGGACAUGUUUAUGUCUAUUUUUCAGGCCUAGGGACAUGUUUAAUUUAUAUCUUUUUUGUUUUUCUUUGGGAAUGUUUAGUUUGUCUUGCUUGAUUCUCCUUGGGACAUGUUUUGUUUAUGUCUUGCUUGUUUUUCUUUGGGACAUGUUUAGUUUGUCUUGCUUGUUUGUCUGUGGGACAUGUUCAGUUUAUGUAUCUUGUUUGUCCCUAGGAAAUGUUUAGUUCAUGUCUUUUUUGUGAUGUUUAGUUUAUGUCUUGUUUGUUUGUCCUUGAGACAUGUUCUUAUGUCUUGUUGGUUUAUCUUUGGGACAUGUUUAGUUUAUGUCUUGUUUGUUUGUCUUUGGGACAUGUUUUAUUUUUAUUUUGUUUCUUUGUCUUUUGGACAUGUUGAGUUUAUGGAUUGUUUGUUUGUCUUUGAGACAUGUUUAGUUUAUAUCUGUUUGUUUGUCAUUGGGACAUAUUUAUAUAAUAUAAACAAUAAACAUGUUCCAAGGACAAACAAACAGACACAAACAUGUCCUAAGGACAUACAAAUAAACAUAAACAUGUCCCAGAGACAAACAAACAGACAUAAACAUGUCCUAAGGACAUACACAUAAACAUAAACAUGUUCCAAGGACAAACACAUAGACACAAACAUGUCCUAGGCUAAGGACAUACAAAUAAACAAACAUGUCCUAGAAACAAACAAAUAGACACAAACAUGUCCUAAGGACAUACACAUAAACAUAAACAUGUCCCAGAGACAAACAAACAGACACAAACAUGUCCUAAGGACAUACAAAUAAACAAACAUGUCCUAGAGACAAACAAAUAGACACAAACAUGUUCCAAGGACAAACACAUAGACACAAACAUGUCCUAAGGACAUACAAAUAAACAUAAACAUGUCCCAGAGACAAACAAACAGACACAAACAUGUCCUAAGGACGUACACAUAAACAUAAACAUGUCCCAGAGACAAACAAACAGACACAAACAUGUCCUAAGGACAUACAAAUAAACAUAAACAUGUCCCAGAGACGUCCCAGAGACAUGUAAAAAUCGAUUUUAAAUAUACAAAACUUGUAGAAUUUUAACCCCCCACCCCCAAACAAUUUGAUUUAAGUUUUUUAUCCUACUUCGAUCUUUUGAUGUCUUCCCUAAGCAGGGGUUGAAACUUGACAACUUUAGAGUUGACACUCUGCUAGUGAUAACUGAAGAUAAACCUUGUUCAAAGCCCCUCCCCCCUUUGACAUGUUUAAAAUAUUGCAUAGCUGUUCAAAACAAGCAGCUAACAUCGCGUGUAGAUAGAAGAGAUAAUAACAGGUUAUGAUUAUGAUUCUGAUGCACAAGGAAAUUGGAUUUUUUUUCUUGAUUAGCUGGCCUCUUUAUGAUCCAUCUUUAAACUGGUUAAGAGUUAAAAAGAGAAAAGGAUCAAUGAGUAGCAUGUUGAAAACUAUUAUAGAAAAGAUUUAAAUGUUGAUUUAAGUCUUUUAUAGCUUAUCCUUAUACGUUAUACUCCUUUUUGAAGGCCAUAUAGUAAUAAAUUAGCUUACAUUAUUUUGUAAAUGUACAUGUAGAUAAAUCAAAAAGCAGUUUUUUGUAUACUGUAGAUUUAUUAUUAUUUUUUGGCAUCACCAGUCAUUGGUCUUGUGAUAGGGUGUUGUGGAAGAGAAAGUUGAUACAUAUGUACAUAGGUCAGUCUUACAAUUUGUAUUAAGUUCUACUUCUCUAAGCACACAACAUUUAGGCAUAGCAAAAACAUGUGACUUUUUACUUGGAAACAACCCUAAUAAUUAAAAGCAUGGCUUAGUCUGGCAGUCUGGUAGGCUUGAAUCUUAGUAUAAUGAUAUCACUUGUCUGAAUGUCCUCAUCUUCAUGCACUGGUAAUAUUUGACACUGGACAUAAAGCAAUCAAUCUCCCUCUCUAUAUCUAUGUUGACUAUAAAUACACCUAAUGUAAGUUAAGUUUGGGUUGAUAAGGCCAUUGAAAUAAAUGUAAUAAUAAAAAAAUAUAUCUCUUCAUUAUUUAAGGCCAAUUAAAAUUAAUUGAUAGAUUUUCAUCCCCGCCUGCCCCUCUGAAUCGCCCUGCCCCGAUUUUUUUUAUUUUAAAAAAAAUAUGAUUUCCGGAUUUUGUUCAAGUCCGUUACCGGGAACCAUUGAUAAGUUUGUUUCAUUCAAAACUUCCUGUUUCAAAUUUCGUAUUUUUAUUUCUUCGAGUAAUCUAACGAAAAUGAUUAAGUCAACAUAUUCUGCUGCACUAUGAUGACAGCAUCAUCUACCGAGAAUAGAGAUUGAUUACAAGAAGGGCAAGAAAUAUUCGAGUUACAAUAAAAUGUUUUGUCCAUGAAAGCAAAUUGCGGUAGUCACAAGUGAUUCAAAAAACAUGUUUUUCUUUUAUUUAUACAAUGACUUUGUGUUAGGAAAUUUGGACUGUGAAUGAUAUCCAAAGUGCAAGAAUUGUAGAACAAAUUGGUUAAAAAAACAUGACUGGAUUAAAGAAAUUGACACAAGCACGAACUUGUUAGAUUUAUGACCAUAUAUUGAGCAAAAAAAAAAGUCGACAAACACGCAUUUUAAUAACAAGCCUUUAGAUUUACCCAUGGCUGUCGUUUUUUGUUGACAAACAGCAAACACCUUCUGUGACUGUCCCAAUACCCUCAAUUUAGUCAUUAAACAACAACUUCUAUUUGAUUAAGUUCAUGUUUUACAUCAUAAUUACUUUCAACACUGAGUUAACAUUUUAUUCUGUACUCAUAAUACUUGUGUUGCAUACCAUUGUACCAAUACAUUUUAUGGGGACUACAAACCAUUGCUUAGAAAGCAAAAUAAAUUUGUCCAACUGAAGAGAGCAUUUCUCUUCUUUUUGAUGUAUACCAUGAAUAGGUUUCUAAAGUGGCAAUUACAUGUAUAACAGUGGUUGCCAAUCAGAGAUUUUUAUUUAAGAGUUUGAAAAAUUAUGUAUGAUUCCUUAUACGGCAUGUAUUUACAUAAUAUAAGCUUGUUUUUCACCUGCUUAUACCCCGCGGUAUGAAGAACUUGUGACGAUGGUUUCAUAUGAAAUAAAAUUUAAAAAAUAAAAUCCUCCCACCCUCCCCAUUUUUUUUCAAAAAUGUGGAUGAAAAUCUACUUAUUAUUUUUAGUUGGCCUAAGUAUAGACAUUAUUUAUUUGCAUAAACACAAAUUGUAUGAUACACAAGUCAAACAGACUUAAUCAGUCUUGUCCAUACAAUUAUAUAAGUGUCAAUGGAAUUCCCAAGCUUCCAUAUCUAUUUUUGUUGGCUUGAAAUUGCUUACUUUAAAGUUUUUAAUGACACUUUGGUAAUGAAUAAUAACAAAAUUGCAGGUCUCAACAUUUACUAAGGGUAAAAAAUUAAGGAAAAAAGAAAUCUUGCCUAUCUACAAUAGUUUUCAUAGUCAGAAACGCAAAACCCACUUAUAUUUUUUUUUGCCUGUGUGAACAUUUUGUUAUUGACUAGUCAAUUUUUAAACUUAUUCACACACUUAAGGUUUUCCUAAAAUCCAUUCAUCUACCUGAAUACACUAGUUCUAUGACUAUACAAACAAGUUUUUAAAACCCUUAACUGCAGUGUUUUAUACUAAACUACAGGACAUACAUUCAGUGUUUAAUUCUGCAAAUUCAAUUGCCAGAGAUUAAAAAAAAUAAUUUUAGGGCCACUUUGACCCAAAAUCUUGCAUGUACAUGUAUAUUUUCCUUCCAUGUUGAUCUUCAUUUUUGUCAAACCCAAUCAAGACAACUUGAUAAAUGUGCUGUCUGUUUUGUUCGCCAUUGUAUGAUAUGUUUAUCUAAUAUAUUUGAAGUCUGACACCAGAUCAAUCUAAGAACUGCAGUUGUUCAAAAUUAGAUUUAUUGUAGAGUUUUGUCUAGAAGUCUAUUUCUGCUAGUACCACAGCAUGUCCUUUAAAUAUUGUCCAUUACAGCAGCAAACCUGACCAGACUCCUGAAGUCAAACUUACACCACAAAAAUUCAUAGAAAUCUAUAAAAAAAAUAAAAUAAAUAUUUGGAAAAUAGUUCCAAGACAGCAGCCCUUCAACUUUAAAACAGUAACAAAUUAAAAGAGGUAUGGUCAGAUCAUCUGUUUUCCUAUGUCAUAUGAAUUUGUACUAUGCAUGCUUUUCGAUGCAUUCUUAAUAGUACCAAAACCCAUGAGACAAGGAUAGAUGUUAAGUAUUUAUCUAAGGACAGGUACUUACAGUACAUUGUUUUCAGUGGUAGACAAACUGUGAGUGGGAGAUACACACCGAUGGCUCUUUUGGGAUCCAAUACAUGCAAAAGAAUCAUUUCAACAUGGACAAGAUUAUAUUACCAUGUAUAAAUGGUUGCAGUGCACAUAUAUAGGUUACUGCCUUUAAUUGUAUGUAUAUAUAGAAUUGUAACUUUUAGAAUGGGGUUGAUUGAUUACAUGUAGCUUAGUUUAUAUUUAGAAUUGUCUUUAUUUUCAAUAAACUCUCUCAUUUUGUAGCUUUAUUUUUCCUCAUGUUGAAGAUUUAUUUCUCAGCUGUUGUCACUCUUAUUGACAUUUUUUUUUAAAGAAAGAUUUCAAUAAGGUAUAUAACAUUAAAACAAUCCAUCAAUGUACUGACUGGGUAACAAUGACAUCUUCUUAUUACUCUUUAGAUACAUGUGUACUCCCAACAUUUUAUCUAGGAUUCAGUCUAUUUUAAAGACAGUUCAAAAUACAAGAUUGCUUUUUAGAGAAAUAUGUUCAUCCCUGGACUUCUGUCCAGCUAUAAAGUUGUCUCCCUUUUGACUGUGCCAGCUUCAUAGAUACUCAGCCAUGUCAGAAUGGUGUGUGUGUGUGUGGGGGGGGGGGGGCAAGGAGGCAGGUGCUUAACAACCUAAUGUCAUGUGAAGGGAGAGUGCCACCCUCUUUGUAUUUUUAAUACCCAUUACAACUUCUCUCCAAGGGUCCUUUAAUACAUAUAGGUGGCUUGUUGCAAUGCAAAAUUUUAGUUUUCAAAUGCAGUUCCUGUUCAAACUUUCAAUGCAAUCUUUUAGGAAUUGGGAACUCAUAUGUCAAGGAUUAAUACAAAAUCUUCUAACUUUAGUGUGAUGCAUUUAUAAACUAUUAGGAAUUAAUCAAGUAAUUAUCAAAGUCAUUCAAUACAAUAAUAUUCAGUGACAGUGUCAGUCAGUAAUAGUAGAUGUACUUGUAGAUCUAUAUAGUAACUAUGCAUACUGUAUUGUUUAUUAUAUUUGUAAAAGAAUAAUAUUACAAUGGUAUUAUAUUAUGCUCCUUGUGAGCCCAUUUUAUGGAAAUAAAGCAUCUUCUUCUUCAUCUUCUUCUUAUAGUAACAGUUGGACCAUGUACAACUCUUUAAUAUUGAAGUCAUUCACUCGACAGUAUAACUGAUAAUAUUACUAGCAAAUUAUUAAAAUUAAAGCUAGCACAUUGAACCAGUUCUUGUACUUUUGAUUCCUACACACUUUUUUGGUUUCUAGUUAAGAUAUUUUACAUCAAGACAAUCACUUGAAAGACAAUAUGAAGUAUUAACAUUUGAUGUCAGCUUUUUGAAACAAAUGGAAAAAAAAUGAGACUGUAUUUAGUGCCUAUAGCAGUUUGAAGACCUGAAAUCUCAUUAGAACAUGUCUAUAGAGUAGCAAGCUAUAAUUGUGACUGUCAUUACCAGACAUCUGCAGGUGAUGCAGUCUUAUAGACAAGUACCAAUUAAACUUCUUACAAUCCAUCACUAUUCAUAGCUUUGUCACAUUUUCUGCACUACUGAACUAAGCAGUAAUUGGACAGAUCUUGCAUCAAAGGAUUACAUUGUUCAUUAUUUGAUCGUUGUGAAAGUUACUUGAGUGUUUAUGCAAACAUUGGCAAAGAUGAUCAUAUGCUUUUUUGAUGUCCUAUGCCAUUAGUCUGAUUAAAGAUUAUCUGUACCUUUUCAACCAUACAAUAGGAUAUUCAUUGUCCUGUGAAUUAAUUUCUUUGUAUUAUGUAAAUUUACAGUGUUAUAGGGAACAAAGAAUUUUCAUAUUGAAUUUCUAAUCAAAAAGUAGAAAUUCGGAAAGUAAUGUAUAAAUAAAGAAACUUAACCCCUGUGAGGAGACCCAAGGGUAUAGAAAUUGGCUUAUGGUGCAUGUUACUGUUAUGAAUAGUAGGAGAGUUCCAGUCUGAACACAAAAAGACCCCUUAAGCCACAGGGCUGAUUGGAGUUUAUACCUACAGGCUUUCUAGAUAUCAUAUCUUAAAAAUACUUGAAAGGUUGGAUAGAUAGGUGAGUGUUGUGUUUUUCUUGCUGUUAGAUGCUGAUGCAGUCGUUUAUAAAGGAUGCUACAAUUAUGGAAUGAAGAGAUAGAUCUUUUGUCUUUGCCAAUGUCAAAAAGAUGUUACAGUGAUGGGAUGCAGAGAUCUUGUGUAUACCAUUAUGUUGAAAAUAAUGUUGUAAAGACUGGAGCAGAUACAGGUCUUGUGGUUACCCUGAUGCCAAAAGGCUGUUGCAGGUGAAUCUUUUGGUCUUAGACUACCCUGAUGUAAAAAAUAAUGUUGCAAAGAUUGUGAGGAGAGAUUGAUCUUGUGACUACCCUGAUGUCAACAGAAUAUUGAAAAGAUUGGAAGGAGAAAUUGGUUUUGUGGCUACCCUAAUGUUAAAAGAUAUUGCAAAAGUUGAAAGGAUAGAUUAAUCUUGUUGCUACCCUGAUGCCAAACAGAUUUUGCUAAGAUUUGAAGGAGAAAAGGAUUUUGGGUACCCUGAUGUCAAAAGGAUGCUGCAAAGAUUUAUAAUAAAGGAUAAAUGGAUCUUGUGGCCACCCUGAUGUUAAAAGGAUGUUGACAAGAUUUGAUUUAGAGAGAUGGACCUUGUGGCUUCCCUGAUGCAAAAUGAAUGUUGCAAAGCCAAAGGUCGAAAAGAGGAAUGGAUAUUUUGGACACAUGCUGACAUUAAAAAGGCUCUUACAAAGAUUGGAAGGAGAAAAAGGUAAUCAUAAAGCUAUUCUGAUGUUGCAAAGAUAAGAAGGAGAGUCGGAUGAUUUGUCUACCCUAAUGUUGAAAAGAUGUUGAAAAUAUUGUAGGGAGCGAUGGAUCUUGAGGCUACUCUUGUCAGUUGACAAAAGUAAAGGCAACAGUAGUAUACCAGUGUUCAAAAGGAUGAAUGUUUGGAAGGCACAAUGGAUCUUGUGGCUUCUCUUAUAUCAAAGAGAUGUUGCAAAGUUUAGAAGGAGCAAUUGAUAUUUGGCUACCCUGAUGUCAAAAGGUUGUUGCAAAGAUUUGAAAUGUAGAUAGAUAAUUUGUCUACUCUGUUGCCAAAAGGAUGUUGCCAUGCUUGGAAGGAGAGUCAGAUGCUGUGUCUACCCUGAUGUCAAAAGUAUGUUGAAUAGAUUUGAAAAAGAGAUGAAUCUUGUGGCUAUCCUGAUCAUAAUUUCACAGUAGUUUUUAAAAGAGGGCAUUGUUGAUGUAGAGUUAUAUUGAUCACAUGAGAGAGAGAGAGAGAGAGAGAGAGAGAGAGAGAGAGAGAGAAAGUAGUUGAUCUAGGUCUUAUAUUGAUAACUUAUCUCUUGUAUAUUAUGAUUCAGUAGUGGAUAGACAUCAAUGGCUUAUGAGAAUGCUUUGAUUAGUUAGGGGAAUAUAAUAAUCUGUAACAAUUUAUGACAUGCCUGAAGAGCUAUUAUGUUGAUGAUUAUUUUUAUGUAAAAAAAUCUGUUAUAAAAUCAGUUAUGACUGUAGUAUUGCAUAUUCAGAGUGUAAAAGUUAAAGCUAUUGUGUAAGAUAAUAUUUUUCUCAAUUCAUGUCAUAAUUUAAGAAAACACAUAAAAAUAUAUUAAAGACACUAUAUGCAAUGAUUGACAAUUUUGGGUAUGCUUUUCAAAGUGAAGGUCAUCUGGACCUUGGGGUGAAUAUUUUUUUAGCCAGGGCAAUCAUAUGAAUUUCUUGUCUUCUUUUUAUAAAGUUGAUAAAUACACUACAGAAAACUGACAUCUGUAUAGAGAAUAGGUUCACCAGCCUACUUGGAUUGUGGUUUUCUUCUUCUAAAUGAAAAAUGUAAACAAAAGAAAACACAAAUCAGCAAUGAAAAUAAAUGAUUUUAACAGGUUGAUGUUUUCUCUUUGUUUAGUACCUCACCACAUAAUUACAUAAAACAGAGAUAACACAUAUAAUUUGAUGGAGUUAACCUACUGCGUUAUAACUUUGGAUCGCAAACCACAGUGAUAGACUAAACACAUUUAUCUCAAGUGCACACUACAUAGACACAAGUCUAGCCAUACACAUUUUCCAUUCAUUGUUUCGGAAAUGUAUGUAUUAAGGGUAAACAUUUUAUAAAUGUACUUGUACUGUACAUGUUCAUCAGAAUUCUGCGUGAUCAGUAGAUAUCCAAUUAAAAAACUCUUUUGUAGAUUUUUUCAUUUAAUUUUUUUUUCAUACUCCUAAAUAAAUGCCUAAAGUUCAUGUUAUGAUGAUCCUUUUGUGUGCUGCCUAGCCUCAUUUUUAUGUUGACAUACAAUGGAAUAUCCCUCAAUACUUCUGAUUAUGAAAUGGUGAAUCAAUACAACACUAGGACCCCUCCUUCAGAUGCAGAUAUAGCAUUUUGAAAAGGGGGCUCACAAACAAGGCACCGCUUGGAGGGGGACUGUAACCUUGUAUGUAUCUCCAUAAAGUGAGGCCUGGUUUAACCUGUAGAAUCCAUAGGCGGAUCCAGGGGGGCCUGGGGGCCUGGGCCCCCCCUUUUGUGGGAAAAAUUUGGUUGAUUAUAUAGGGAAUCACUGAUGCAUGACUGGAGUGGGCCCCCCUUAGGAAAAGUUCUGGAUCUGCCACUGGAAUCCUACCCAUACCUAAGCAUCAUGCAUGUUCAGUUGAUUUGUUCACCUUUUAACUUCAGUCAUAGUGUAAAAGUCAGCAUGACUCUUUAGUCCUUAAUGUCAUAAAAAAGUCGCUAGAGAAAAUGAAUGUUUAUGUUGGAAAAAUGACAAACAAUUCCUGGACAGAAAUUAAUGCUUCAAUAGGGCAUUCAAAGUAACAAUAAAUAAAUAUAAGAUAUUGUACAGUAAUUCAGUGGACAGCAUUUUAUGUCUAGAUAAUGCUCACUGUUGUGUGGCAAAACAUGACAUGUCUUUAGGUUUAAAUUCAAUUAUCAAAUAAUUUACAAAAGUAAUAUCAAAAAUGUCCAGAACAAAAUAGAGGAAACUUGGUCCCUCUUUUUUUCUAUGUGGCAACCAAAGUCCCAAAUAUCAGCAACAGUUGCAAUAGUAUACAGUACAUGUACAUGAAAUAUAGCUUUCAUUGAGGAACAUUUUAAAAAUGUGUUGUGACCACUGCAAGAAGGGAAAUCAAGUUUUAAACUAGUAAUCAUGAAUUUUGCAAAGGACUGGGUGUCAAUAUCUCAUCAUUGGUAUCUUUAGAUCAAACCUAUAAAACUUAAAAACACCUGGAGUCUUAUUAUAAAGACAGAUGUUAUUAAAAAGAUAAUUGCAUAAAAUUAUGUAUAAAAUCAAUGAUAAACCUUCUUCGCAUGUACUUCAGCCUGGCAAAUGUACUUCAGAAGCAAACCACAAAAAUGUAUGGGUACCAGAGGUAUAGUAAUGUGUUCAACAGAUUAUCUUUUGUGGUUAAAAAGAUUAAAAAGGAAAAAUAUACUGUUAUUUACCAUUAUACAUUUAUCAAAGACAGUUUUAUUGAAAUAUCAUUAUUUUUGUCAAAGUGGUUAAGAAUUUUGCCAUUAAAACAUAUGUGUUGGUUUGUAUGAUGUCUGUGUUAAGAGAAUCUAAGGUCAUUUACCUGUGUGAGGACACAAAGGUCACUGACAUGUGUUUAAUGGUUUCUAAGGUCAAAGUGACAAACAGAUGGACAUUGGAUAUGAUUAAUGUGGUCAGUCAAGGACAUCUUAACCAUUAUGACCAGCUGUGUUUAGUCUGGUAUUUCCAGGUCAUGUUAACACAACUGGUCAUCUAAGGACACUUCCUUCACAAUAAAGGAGAUGAAAUCUAAUGAUUUACAGCUUAUAUUGAAUAACUGACUAGUCAAGGACUUGUUACAUAUUAUAAUUCUUAAUACUUAAUGACAAGAAAUAAGAUCAAAUCUAAUGACUUAAAGAUUGUAGAAUAGUUGACUUGUCAAGGACAUUUUAAUGGUACAUGUUAUAAUUCUGUAUGUACUACAAAAGUCUACAUUAAAACCAUGACUAAUACACAUUAUGUGUGUUUUGUGACAUGUGUUAGUUACAAAUUUUUGAGCAAGGCUGUGGCUGAAUAGAAUUUUAAAUAAUGUAUUGAUCACUGUAUCCUACUAGAGUGCACACCUGGCUUUUUGGUUAUGUUAUUUAAAUUUUCAAUUGGAUGUUUUUUAAGUUAACUUUAUGGUACCCGGUUUUUAAAGGUAUUUGAAAGCUAUGCACCAUUAACUUAGAGUAGUGUGACCCAGACAGUGUGACCUUCAAAUCAAGGCUGGUGUUUCCCUCUAAAAGAUAAGAGAGAAGUUUUACCUAUGACAUAUAUUGAUAAAGUUUGCACAAGUCUGGCAUAAUAAGUGUGUGUCUAGGUUUGGUGUAUUUUUGGAAACCUUAUGGCAUGUAUAUAAUUUCUGCAGCUGUUACAAUAACCAUUAGUUUUAUAUUGUGAGGUAGAAUAUUUAAAAUCAAAUAAUGUGUGGGAGAAAAAGAAAUAAGAAAUGAAUUUUUCAAUAAGACCAGGUGUACAGAUUUAUAUUAUCUUCUUUUGAAUGAACAUCUUAAAGAAAUCCUUUGUUUCUUUUUUUUUUUAAAUUCACAAUUACAAGCAUAAAUUUUAUAUUUGAAUGAAACUUGAGAUAGCAAUGAUGUCAACAGUAAUUUUUUUAUGCAGUAAAAUUAAAUUUGUUGUACUCUUACAUUCAUAUAUUAAACUAGGCAGACAAUUCCAAAGAGAGAAUUAAAACUCAUAAGUUGAAUGGAGUCUGAUCAUGGCAAAAAAGUUCAGGAAAAAAACAUAAUAGGUAAAAAAGGGGGAGUUUUCUCGUUAGUUUGAAAGAUAUGGAAAUUUGACCAUUUCCUCUUGAUACCUGAUUUCAGAUUUGAAAAAAAAUCUAUUGAAAUACACCAGUUGAUAUGUUGAAAAUUGAUUGCAUAGGAAAUUUACUGUAUUAAAUAUACUUCAAAAUGUGGAAAAAAAGACAAGAAAAAAAAAAAUCUGAAAAAUCCUGAUAUUAUGAUGAAAGACCCAUUAUAGCAUUUAAUAAUGUGAUUAAAUUCUGAUGUAUAAUUUCACUUUCUAUCAUGGUAUUAUUUAGGAAAUAAGUUUUUUUGUAAAGUGGAAGUUAAUUUUGUACUUGGGAUGAUAAUUUACAGUACUUGUGUCAAUUUGAUAAAUUACAGCAGCUUAAUUUGUAAUGCUUUAGAUAAUGAACUGGAUGUCUUUAAUAUAAAUUAGUUCUAGGAAUUUGACAUAAAUCUAGUUAUUCAGGAUUUUUUUAAAAGAGAAAAUAAAUUUUUAAAUUUGUACCACCAGUGAUUUAGAACAAAUUUGCAGUCUGAUAUUAAAUCAAUUGUCUGCAAUUUGUAGAGCAGAGGAAAAAAAGGAUAUGAAAUAUAGUUCUGCAAGACCCAUUGGGGAAAGAAAUCAGUCAUUUUGUGUACAAAUCAUAUCUGAAAAUUUGUCAGGUUUUCUUUCACAUAUACUCCAUAAGAAAUUGUUCAGGUUGACAGCCCUCAUUUUAAGUAGUUUAAUAUGCAUAUAACCAGAGAAAAUCUUUUUUGAGUUGACCUUUUUAAUAUUUUGCAAUGAAAGUUGUGUGUCAAGAAACAGAUUUGAUUUAGAAAAACUUAAAAAAAAAAGAAAAGAAAAACUUCAAUUAAAAAAAAAUUGUAUCAACUAACCGAAAUCUGUUUCUUUAGCUUUAAAAAUAAUCCGUUGAGGUCAGCAAAAAAUAAAAAAGUUUUUAUUUUUUUAUUUUCAGAAAAGAAGCUUGUUAACCUUGCUAAUGCAUUCUGUACAGAUAAAAGACAAGUCGAGGCAGUUAAGGAAAUGAAUUUCACACAAUUUGGUUUGAAUUACAUUUGUACACAUCUUUCCCUCAUUAAUCUCUGUGUUGGCAUUGAUAAAGAAU
RNAcentral lists this long non-coding RNA (31274 nucleotides) under Mytilus galloprovincialis (Mediterranean mussel). The record is from RNAcentral. Lineage: Eukaryota; Metazoa; Mollusca; Bivalvia; Mytilida; Mytilidae.